Molecule: ribosomal RNA, 477 nt
Filed under: uncultured bacterium
Lineage: Bacteria
Description: bacterial SSU rRNA
Rfam family: Bacterial small subunit ribosomal RNA
Source: RNAcentral
ACUCCUACGGGAGGCAGCAGUGGGGAAUAUUGCACAAUGGGGGAAACCCUGAUGCAGCCAUGCCGCGUGUGUGAAGAAGGCCUUCGGGUUGUAAAGCACUUUCAGUAGGGAGGAAGGUAGUGUAGUUAAUACCUGCAUUAUUUGACGUUACCUACAGAAGAAGCACCGGCUAACUCCGUGCCAGCAGCCGCGGUAAUACGGAGGGGUGCGAGCGUUAAUCGGAAUUACUGGGGCGUAAAGCGCAUGCAGGCGGCCUGUUAAGUCAGAUGUGAAAGCCCGGGGGCUUAACCUCGGAAUUGCAUUUGAAACUGGCAGGCUAGAGUCUUGUAGAGGGGGGUAGAAUUUCAGGUGUAGCGGUGAAAUGCGUAGAGAUCUGAAGGAAUACCAGUGGCGAAGGCGGCCCCCUGGACAAAGACUGACGCUCAGAUGCGAAAGCGUGGGGAGCAAACGAGGAUUAGAUACCCUGGUAGCACAGAG